This 650-nucleotide ribosomal RNA is filed under the name Shigella sonnei. Its description in RNAcentral is "partial 23S ribosomal RNA". It matches the Rfam family "Bacterial large subunit ribosomal RNA", at positions 2211 to 2855 of the family's 2925-position model. Lineage: Bacteria; Pseudomonadati; Pseudomonadota; Gammaproteobacteria; Enterobacterales; Enterobacteriaceae. The record is from RNAcentral.
UGUUUGAUGUUCUAACGUGGACCCGUGAUCCGGGUUGCGGACAGUGUCUGGUGGGUAGUUUGACUGGGGCGGUCUCCUCCUAAAGAGUAACGGAGGAGCACGAAGGUUGGCUAAUCCUGGUCGGACAUCAGGAGGUUAGUGCAAUGGCAUAAGCCAGCUUGACUGCGAGCGUGACGGCGCGAGCAGGUGCGAAAGCAGGUCAUAGUGAUCCGGUGGUUCUGAAUGGAAGGGCCAUCGCUCAACGGAUAAAAGGUACUCCGGGGAUAACAGGCUGAUACCGCCCAAGAGUUCAUAUCGACGGCGGUGUUUGGCACCUCGAUGUCGGCUCAUCACAUCCUGGGGCUGAAGUAGGUCCCAAGGGUAUGGCUGUUCGCCAUUUAAAGUGGUACGCGAGCUGGGUUUAGAACGUCGUGAGACAGUUCGGUCCCUAUCUGCCGUGGGCGCUGGAGAACUGAGGGGGGCUGCUCCUAGUACGAGAGGACCGGAGUGGACGCAUCACUGGUGUUCGGGUUGUCAUGCCAAUGGCACUGCCCGGUAGCUAAAUGCGGAAGAGAUAAGUGCUGAAAGCAUCUAAGCACGAAACUUGCCCCGAGAUGAGUUCUCCCUGACCCUUUAAGGGUCCUGAAGGAACGUUGAAGACGACGACGUUG